GGUGGCUGGGGAGGAGGCUCCUUCCCCAUGAGCCCAAGGCUGCCCUGGAGGAAGAGUCAGGGCCCAGGCCUGCUCCUGUUUUCCUCUGGGCAAGGGUUAUGCCUGCUGGGUGACCUGCAGAUUCCUGAGAAGCUGAGUUCCAUCUCCAGCACCUCCCCUGCAGGACACACAGUGAGUCAGCCACUGUCAGCCUCUGCUGGGUCUGAAUGCUGUGAAUAAGGUGGCCUUUGCAGCCACAUGCCUUGCACGCACCUUCAUCAGCCCUCUUUCCACAAGUCUUACUUACACCUGUGAUGCAGCACAUAAAGAAAGCUGGCCCUCAGAUAACACAAGCAAUGGCCCUUCUCACUCACCAACUCAAGCAACGGUGCAUCUCCACCUGGUAUUGUGGU
This 392-nucleotide long non-coding RNA is filed under the name Homo sapiens (human). Its description in RNAcentral is "HSALNT0199653". Lineage: Eukaryota; Metazoa; Chordata; Mammalia; Primates; Hominidae. The record is from RNAcentral.